RNAcentral lists this ribosomal RNA (321 nucleotides) under uncultured eukaryote. RNAcentral describes it as "partial 18S ribosomal RNA". It matches the Rfam family "Eukaryotic small subunit ribosomal RNA", at positions 1470 to 1796 of the family's 1831-position model. The record is from RNAcentral.
CCCUUAGAUGUUCUGGGCCGCACGCGUGCUACACUGAGUGGAUCAGCGGGUCAGGUUGCGCGAAAGUGUUUCCUAAUCUUUAAAUCCGCUCGUGAUGGGGAUUGACGGUUGCAAUUUUCCGUCAUGAACGAGGAAUACCUUGUAAGCGCGGGUCAUCAUCCCGCGCUGAAUACGUCCCUGCCCUUUGUACACACCGCCCGUCGCUCCUACCGAUUGAGUGGUCCGGUGAGGCUUUGGGAUCUGAGCGGAAAGAGCGUUUCGCUGUUUCUGCUCGGAAAACUCAGUCGAACCUUAUCAUUUAGAGGAGGAGAAGUCGUAACA